CCUACUGGUGGCAGCAGUGAGGAAUAUUGGUCAAUGGACGAGAGUCUGAACCAGCCAAGUAGCGUGAAGGAUGACUGCCCUAUGGGUUGUAAACUUCUUUUAUAUGGGAAUAAAACAGGGUAUGCAUACCCUCUUGUAUGUACCAUAUGAAUAAGGAUCGGCUAACUCCGUGCCAGCAGCAGCGGUAAUACUGAGGAUCCGAGCGUUAUCCGGAUUUAUUGGGUUUAAGGGGACAGUAGGUGGAUGGUUAAGUCAGUUGUGAAAGUUUGCGGCUCAACCUUAAAAUUGCAGGUGAUACUGUCAGUCUUGAGUACAGGAGAGGUGGGCGGAAUUCGUGGUGUAGCGGUGAAAUGCUUAGAUAUCAUGAAGAACUCCGAUUGCGAAGGCAGCUAACUGGACUGCAACUGACACUGAUGCUCGAAAGUGUGGGUAGCAAACAGGAUUAGAUACCCUAGUAGUC
RNAcentral lists this ribosomal RNA (460 nucleotides) under uncultured bacterium. RNAcentral's name for it is "partial 16S ribosomal RNA". It matches the Rfam family "Bacterial small subunit ribosomal RNA", at positions 338 to 795 of the family's 1533-position model. The record is from RNAcentral.